CGUUGCUACCAUGAGGAAAUUCUAAAAUUAGAAGAUUCCAGAAGUAGCAUUAUUAUUCAAGCCUGUUUCUUUAUUGGGGAAGAACCAAUGAGGGAUGAAUUCAUCAAUUCUUUGUAUGAGUAAUGAAGAUGCAACUAUAGAUGACAUAAUUGCUGGGACAUCAUUUGACGUUUCUAGAUCAUAAGAGGAAAAGUUUCUUAAUAAAUACUGUUGAAGAAAAUGCAUCAUUGAAUUCGGACACAAAAUCAACGAGGAAAAUAAACUUUUCUCUCAGAUGUUGACAUAUGUAAGAAACUAGGAAAUAAGCCUAUUGUGUAAAAUGACCUGCAAAAAAUAUAAAUGAGACGGUCUUCUUAAGCCAGUACAAUAUUAACAAAAAGUACAGCAGGACAACAGCUGGAUGUAGCUGAAGAACAAGGGCUGGUUACAUGCAGUGAGGUGCAGGUCAGCAUGUUGAAGAAUAAAAGGGAGGUGGAAAGUAAGAGUUCAUUCUU
Molecule: long non-coding RNA, 494 nt
Organism: Canis lupus familiaris (dog)
Lineage: Eukaryota; Metazoa; Chordata; Mammalia; Carnivora; Canidae
Exons: 3
Source: RefSeq, a predicted model, not a curated record